CAAAUUUUAUGAAAAGUUUACACAUUACUAACAUUACCUGAAAACUCAAAUCUAAUACUUAUUUGAGUAGCAUAACUUUUACAGUUUUUCAGUUAUAUAAAAAAGAAGAUGUGGUAUGAUUACCAAUGAGACAACUAUCCACAAAAGACCAAAAUGACACAGACAUUAAUAACUAUAGGUCACCGUACGCCCUUCAACAAUGAGCAAAGCCCAUUCCGCAUAGUCAGCUAUAACAGGCCCCGAUAAGACAAUGUAAAACAGUUCAAACGAGAAAACUAGCGGCCUUAUUUAUGUAAAAAAAAAAAAAAAAAAUGAAAAACAAAUAUGUAACACAUAAACAAACGACAACCACUGAAUUGCAGGCUCCUGACUUGGGACAGGCACAUACAUAAAUAGUGUGGCGGGGUUAAACAUGUUAGCGGAAUCCCGACCCUCCCCCUAACCUGGGACAGUGGUAUAACAGUACAACAUAAGUUAUGUCUCUUUAUAUUUAUAUGAUAUUCAAGGUGGG
This 511-nucleotide long non-coding RNA is filed under the name Mytilus galloprovincialis (Mediterranean mussel). The record is from RNAcentral. Lineage: Eukaryota; Metazoa; Mollusca; Bivalvia; Mytilida; Mytilidae.